GUGGGGAAUAUUGCACAAUGGGCGCAAGCCUGAUGCAGCAACGCCGCGUGAGGGAUGACGGCCUUCGGGUUGUAAACCUCUUUUAGUAGGGAAGAAGCGAAAGUGACGGUACCUGCAGAAAAAGCACCGGCUAACUACGUGCCAGCAGCCGCGGUAAUACGUAGGGUGCAAGCGUUGUCCGGAAUUAUUGGGCGUAAAGAGCUCGUAGGCGGCUUGUCGCGUCUGCUGUGAAAUCCCGGGGCGCAACCCCGGGCCUGCAGUGGGUACGGGCAGGCUAGAGUGCGGUAGGGGAGAUUGGAAUUCCUGGUGUAGCGGUGGAAUGCGCAGAUAUCAGGAGGAACACCGAUGGCGAAGGCAGAUCUCUGGGCCGCUACUGACGCUGAGGAGCGAAAGCAUGGGGAGCGAACAGGAUUAGAUACCCGGGUAGUCC
Molecule: ribosomal RNA, 430 nt
Filed under: uncultured bacterium
Lineage: Bacteria
Description: partial 16S ribosomal RNA
Rfam family: Bacterial small subunit ribosomal RNA
Source: RNAcentral